This 253-nucleotide ribosomal RNA is filed under the name uncultured bacterium. RNAcentral's name for it is "partial 16S ribosomal RNA". It matches the Rfam family "Bacterial small subunit ribosomal RNA", at positions 524 to 776 of the family's 1533-position model. The record is from RNAcentral.
UACGAAGGGGGCUAGCGUUGCUCGGAAUCACUGGGCGUAAAGCGCACGUAGGCGGACUAUUAAGUCGGUGGUGAAAUCCUGGAGCUCAACUCCAGAACUGCCUUCGAUACUGAGAGUCUCGAGUCCGGGAGAGGUGAGUGGAACUGCGAGUGUAGAGGUGAAAUUCGUAGAUAUUCGCAAGAACACCAGUGGCGAAGGCGGCUCACUGGCCCGGUACUGACGCUGAGGUGCGAAAGCGUGGGGAGCAAACAGG